AAUUUGGAGCUCAAAAAUGUCAUUUCUCGGAUUUUCGGGGUUUUGGCGGUCCUACCUCCUGACUGGAGCGGUACAACCGCUUGGCAGCUCAGAGACUGAGCUUCUGGGCGGUGCCACCGCCUGACAGGGGUGAUUGCACCGCUUGGCAGAGCUCGGAGACCGAGCUUAGGCGGUUCUACCGCCUGUCAGGGGUGGUUGCACUGCCUAGCCUAGCUUCGAGACUAAGCCCUGGGUAGUGCCACCGCUGACCCAAGCGGUGCCACCGUUGGCCAAGAAAUCUGGGUCCGAAUGGGCUGAUCCAUUCGGCCCAAUUUGGG
RNAcentral lists this long non-coding RNA (317 nucleotides) under Musa acuminata (dwarf banana). RNAcentral describes it as "long non-coding RNA (MACU_LNC000519)". The record is from RNAcentral. Lineage: Eukaryota; Viridiplantae; Streptophyta; Magnoliopsida; Zingiberales; Musaceae.